UAAUACUCUCUUAUUUUUUUGUUCUUUUCUCUUCUCUCUACCCCUUCUCGCUCCUCACCGACUCCGACUUAUCGUUCGAACGAGAAACGCAAAAUCGACGUUUUCUGGCGGCUGGCACUGCAACCACAACAAUUCGACUCAAGAGAGUGCCAACAACAACAACAUUCGACCUUUGCAUGCUCGAAUCUACCCUCGACCGAAGAGUUCCAUAAGCCCAGCUUGCGGUGUUUAUUUUUCCGGCCAAUUUCAGGCCUUUCCGACCUUUUUUGGGUCCGGAGAAGGUGAUUGCCAAAGAAUCUCUCCUGACUGCACAGGUAUGAAAACAAUAGUCCUGACAUCACUGAUAUAAAUCCUUGCAAAUUUGUCGUCACGGUUAAGAUUAUUGUUUCAAUCGGGUUGUGUUUUUGUCAUAAGGAGGAUUUCCGCAGGGUGAGAGAGGAAUUGGCUGAAACUCAUAAACCAAUCAUCGGUGGAGUUCAAUGUUAGGAGCAAAACUAUUUUUCAUUAGAUACGGAGUGAGCAAUGUUUAAUGCUAUCAGUUCUCAUAUGCUGCCUUGACAUGAAAACAUAAAUAUCGACGAGAAUUGCGCAUCUUUUGCA
Molecule: long non-coding RNA, 600 nt
Organism: Pyrus x bretschneideri (Chinese white pear)
Lineage: Eukaryota; Viridiplantae; Streptophyta; Magnoliopsida; Rosales; Rosaceae
Exons: 2
Source: RefSeq, a predicted model, not a curated record